ACUAUUCCUAGCCCAAACCUCCAUUCUCAAUUAAAUAACCAAAAACAAAAUAAAACAAAACAUUUACCCUAACUUAAAGUAUAGGAGAUAGAAAUUCUAAAUAUGGCGCUAUAGAGAAAGUACCGCAAGGGAACGAUGAAAGAAUAAAAUUAAAGUAUAAAAAAGCAAAGAUUACCCCUUGUACCUUUUGCAUAAUGAGUUAACUAGCAAAAAACUUAACAAAACGAAUUUUAGCUAAGUAACCCGAAACCAGACGAGCUACUUAUGGACAGUUAAUUAAGAACCAACUCAUCUAUGUGGCAAAAUAGUGAGAAGAUCUACAAGUAGAGGUGACACGCCUAACGAGCCUGGUGAUAGCUGGUUGUCCAGAAAAUGAAUCUUAGUUCAGCUUUAAAGAUGCCAAAAAUCCACACAAACCUCACUGUAUCUUUAAAAGUUAGUCUAAAAAGGUACAGCCUUUUAGAAACGGAUACAACCUUGACUAGAGAGUAAGAUCCAAUAACACCAUAGUAGGCCUAAAAGCAGCCACCAAUUAAGAAAGCGUUAAAGCUCAACAAUUUCAAACAAUAUUAAUCCCAACAACAAACAACUAACUCCUAGCUUCAAUACUGGACCACUCUAUUAUUAAAUAGAAGUAAUAAUGUUGACAUGAGUAACAAGAAAUACUUUCUCCUUGCACAAGCCUAAGUCAGUAUCUGAUAAUAUCCUGACCAUUAACAGCAAAUAAAAACAACCCAACAAUAAACAAUUUACUAAUUACACUGUUAACCCAACACAGGAGUGCACUUAAGGAAAGAUUAAAAGAAGUAAAAGGAACUCGGCAAACACAAACCCCGCCUGUUUACCAAAAACAUCACCUCCAGCAUCCCUAGUAUUGGAGGCACUGCCUGCCCAGUGACUAAACGUUAAACGGCCGCGGUAUCCUGACCGUGCAAAGGUAGCAUAAUCAUUUGUUCUCUAAAUAAGGACUUGUAUGAAUGGCCACACGAGGGUUUUACUGUCUCUUACUUCCAAUCAGUGAAAUUGACCUUCCCGUGAAGAGGCGGGAAUAAACAAAUAAGACGAGAAGACCCUAUGGAGCUUUAACUAAUUAGUCCAAAGGAAACAAACUUAAUCACCAAGGGACAACAACACCCUCUAUGGACUAACAGCUUUGGUUGGGGUGACCUCGGAGAACAAAAAAUCCUCCGAGCGAUUUUAAAGACUAGACCCACAAGUCGAAUCAAACUUAUCGCUCAUUGAUCCAAAAAAUUGAUCAACGGAACAAGUUACCCUAGGGAUAACAGCGCAAUCCUAUUCAAGAGUCCAUAUCGACAAUAGGGUUUACGACCUCGAUGUUGGAUCAGGACACCCCGAUGGUGCAGCCGCUAUCAAAGGUUCGUUUGUUCAACGAUUAAAGUCCUACGUGAUCUGAGUUCAGACCGGAGUAAUCCAGGUCGGUUUCUAUCUAUUACGAAUUUCUCCCAGUACGAAAGGACAAGAGAAAUAAGGCCCACUUCAAACAAGCGCCUUAAAUUAAUUAAUGAUAUCAUCUCAAUUAAACUCACAAACAAAACCCGCCCUAGAAAAGGGCAUA
Molecule: ribosomal RNA, 1576 nt
Filed under: Sylvicapra grimmia (bush duiker)
Lineage: Eukaryota; Metazoa; Chordata; Mammalia; Artiodactyla; Bovidae
Description: 16S ribosomal RNA
Rfam family: Bacterial large subunit ribosomal RNA
Source: RNAcentral